Non-coding RNA from Sus scrofa (pig), 1059 nucleotides. The record is from the annotation of a RefSeq genome assembly. Lineage: Eukaryota; Metazoa; Chordata; Mammalia; Artiodactyla; Suidae.
AAUUUUUUAUUCACAAUGUUGUGUUCUUUUAAAAAGCCCAAUUUAAUACAUUUCAGGACCUACAAAACACAGAUCCUUUUCUGUACAUAGUCAUAAUGCUUUGAAAUUCAACCGUAAAAGGGCAGAAAAGAGGAAGCGAAGCCUCACAAAAAUUGCGAACCUUUUCUCUGCUCUCAAUUUUGGCCCCUGGAGAGCGCUGCUGUCUAAAUUUGGAAAUGGCUUUUCUGUAAAAGAUCAGAAUAAGCUCACAAACACCUUCCUUCCAUAGAGUUUAAAGAGAUCUGAGAUAGUCUCACACUUUUUUUUUUUUUUUGGCACAGUGACAAGUAAAACACUCAGUUGCCAGAGGCAGGCAGUUUUGUUAAGGCAGCCUCUCUUCCUAACAGUCAUUACAACACCCAUCAGCAGAAGAAAUCUAAAUCCCCUGUCAUUUCUCCUCAACCUCAGAGCAACCUGGGUUCAAGUCCCUGGGUCAUCAGAUUUUUGUUUGUGAGGAAUCUCCCAGAAAGAAGCUUGCUGCCUCUUCACUGCCACACCAUGAUCUUGGUGUUCACCUUGAUGCUUGAGGUGUUCCUGUUCCUGAGAGGAACCGGAGCCCAGUCAGUGACCCAGCCUGACAGCCUCAUCACUGUCCCUGAAGGAGACGCUGUGGAGCUGAGGUGCAAGUACUCCUCUUCUGUCGCACCCUAUCUCUUCUGGUACGUGCAGUACCCCAACCAAGGACUCCAGCUUCUCCUGAAGUACACGUCUGGAAAUAGCUUUGUUUCAGGCAUCAGAGGCUUUGGGGCUGAAUUCAGGAAGAAUGAAACCUCCUUCCACCUGAGGAAAACAUCAGUCCAUUUGAGUGACUCAGCCAAGUACUUCUGUGCUCUGAGUGACACAGUGACUGAGACUGCAGGGGGAGCUGAACACAAACACACUGAGACACAGCAGCUUAAAAGACCCAGCAUCUCAGCCUGCGUUAUUUUCAGGAAGUUAGUGUGUUGUUUGAUGGCAAACAGUACAAACAAUACAGAGUUCUGGAGGUGUUUUGCUCCUAUGGAAAAGACUCCUGGAUAA